RNAcentral lists this ribosomal RNA (428 nucleotides) under Trapezionida leagora. Its description in RNAcentral is "Munida leagora partial 16S ribosomal RNA". The stretch from base 305 to 428 matches the Rfam family "Bacterial large subunit ribosomal RNA", at positions 2473 to 2597 of the family's 2925-position model. The record is from RNAcentral. Lineage: Eukaryota; Metazoa; Arthropoda; Malacostraca; Decapoda; Munididae.
UCAUUAGUUUUUUAAUUAAAGGCUUGUAUGAAAGGUUGGACAAAGAAUAAUCUGUUUCUAUUCUUAUUUUUGAAUUUAACUUUUAGGUGAAAAGGCUUAAAUAAAUUUAAGGGACGAUAAGACCCUAUAAAUCUUUAUAUUAAAUUAUUUUUAGUUGAUUAAUAUUGUAAAUAUAAUAAUAAAAUAUCAAAUAUUGUGUUGGGGCGACGAGAAUAUAAUAAAUUAACUGUUCUAAAAUUAAAACAAAAUUGUUUGUAAAAAUAAUAGAUCCUUUAUAAAGAGUAAAAGUUCAAGUUACUUUAGGGAUAACAGCGUUAUUUUUUUUGAGAGUUCUUAUCGAAAAAAAAGUUUGCGACCUCGAUGUUGAAUUAAAAUUUCUUUGCGGUGCAGUUGUUGCAAAAGAGAGUCUGUUCGACUUUUAAAUUUUU